This 360-nucleotide transfer-messenger RNA is filed under the name Bacillus sp. HSf4. It matches the Rfam family "transfer-messenger RNA". Rfam says of the family: Bacterial tmRNA, also known as 10Sa RNA or SsrA, is named for its dual tRNA and mRNA-like properties. Its role is to liberate the mRNA from a stalled ribosome. The record is from RNAcentral. RNAcentral also lists the same sequence under 3 other names. Lineage: Bacteria; Bacillati; Bacillota; Bacilli; Caryophanales; Bacillaceae.
GGGGACGUUACGGAUUCGACAGGGAUGGAUCGAGCUUGAGUUGCGAGCCGAGAGGCGAUCUCGUAAACACGCACCUAAAUAUAACUGGCAAAUCUAAUAACCAGAACUUAGCACUAGCUGCCUAAUAUAGCGCAGCGAGCUCUUGCCCGCAUCGCCUAUGUGCCGGUUAAGAGCCCAUAACGAAGUAGGCUACGCUUGCGCUUCCGUCUGAGAGCGCAGGAAGAGACCCAUCAGACUAGCUCUCUGAGGGCCCGCCCGCAGGCACGAAGAUGAGCGAAUCCAAAUAUGCAGGGCUACGCUCGUAGACGCUGAAGCAAUCGACGUUUCUGGACGUGGGUUCGACUCCCACCGUCUCCACCA